Pyrenochaeta sp. MPI-SDFR-AT-0127 is the source of this 102-nucleotide non-coding RNA. Lineage: Eukaryota; Fungi; Ascomycota; Dothideomycetes; Pleosporales; Cucurbitariaceae. The record is from the annotation of a GenBank genome assembly.
AACACCAGGCGGAGUGGUUAACGCGCUGGCCUGCUAGUCGCUCUUCGGAGCGGAAGUCAGCCAGUUCCUUCGGGAGCGUGUGUUCGAAUCACACAGGUGUCG